CACAACCUAGAUUGUGGUAUGGCCACAGAAAUCACACGAGGCCUUUAGAAGGAGCAGAGCUUAAUAUUGUUUUAUAAAAUAUUGAGUCAGGAUAUGAUAAUUAAAUAUCUAAGUCUCUUUUUGAGAAGACAAUAGGUGCAUAGAUGGAUUUGCCUAUUCAAAAUCUUACCAAAUGGACUUGUUGCCUAUCAUAUAUUCUGGAGCAUCCAAACAAUUUUUUUUAAGCUUGGCAUGGUGAACAAGUCAGAGCCAAGACAUGCUUGGAUUAAGCUGUAAUCGCUUUAUAUUGGAGUUUAGGGAAUUAUUUUUUCUCCCUUCUAAUUAAAAAGAAGGCUCUGUUUCCAAGGCCUUGAAGAUCUUAAUGAAGGGUCUCAAUUAAGUCAUAACGGUGUUUAGUGAGGGAAGGGCAUCUCAAUUCCAUGUGCUACAAAAAACCUGAAGACCUUGAUUUGGAUGACUUUUGAGGCUGUAAUAGUAUACAAGAAUCAUUCCUGAAAGGUUUGCCAGUUUGAUGGGAAUAUAGCUCGACUCGAUUGCUUUGCUUAAGAUUUUCUUUUGUUAAUGUUCUUUUUUAGAAUGUAGUUGAGAUAAUAUCAGGGGGUAUCUUUUUAAUUUAGUGGAAGAAUUCCAGAGAGUAGGACCUUAGCUCCAAAAAUAUAGUUUUACUUUGAUUCCAAUGGAAGGGC
RNAcentral lists this long non-coding RNA (686 nucleotides) under Elaeis guineensis (African oil palm). Its description in RNAcentral is "long non-coding RNA (EGUI_LNC020891)". The record is from RNAcentral. Lineage: Eukaryota; Viridiplantae; Streptophyta; Magnoliopsida; Arecales; Arecaceae.